GGUUGCUCAGAGUGCUGGGUGGCUUUACCAGCUCACUUUUUUUUUUUUUUUUUAAAAACCAGGCUUGUCUUAGGAGAUGAAGAGGUUGUCUGUGUUAGUGUUAGCGUGUUAAUGGUGAAUGUUAAUAUUGGCCAGACUGAAUGGGAACAAGCUGUCUCGUGACAUGUCCUUCUGUCUCCUGCCACCCUACUGGCUCAUCUAUAGGUCCUGAGUCCCAUUUCCCCAACCCCAGUCUCCCCCAGUUCACUUUCUUCUAGAAGGUCAUCAGCAGUCUUGCUUUGUGGGUGCUCCCCUUCAAUGUAAUGACUGUCAUUUAAGGAGAGUCUAGAGAUGGAUCCUAAGUGUAAGCUGCCGGAUCGGGAAGAAUGAAUGGUAGGGCCCCUCUGCAUCUUCCCACGAGGCCUGCUUCUCCAUAAUGGAUGUUUAAAUGCCACCAUGGUGAUGCUUGCUCCAAUUCUUACUGACUCAGCCAGUCAUUGGGUGACUUCUAGUGUUUGGUUAGUUUACACAACCUUCUGGUUUUUUCUGUCUUCACCAACGUCUUCUUAUGCUAGUUCUCCCAGACAUAGAGUUUCCUUAUACCACAUAUAAGCGUGAUAAAGACAACAUCCUUGUGCUUUCCCCUUUAAGGUGCUUUACCAGUUUCUCUGUCCACUGACCAAGGAACUGUUCAGUGCAGAAGACCCGGCUGUCUGUCUGUCCAUGGAGAAUCUGUAGCAAGAUGGAAGGAGGGGUGUGUUGGGAUAAUGGAGUGAACCAGGUAGACUUGAGACUUUCCACCAAGCACCUGUGGUGAAGCCUGGCUGCCGAGUCACGCCCUCCCUGAGGGUCCUGGAGCAGGUGAUUUAGCCACUCUGGGCUCGUUUCAUCCCCAACAAGGUGUAAGAUGGUAGGAGCGAGAGUGAAGAGUCUGAAGUGUAGAUUUUACUGGCUGGCUGGAAGGAAGAAUGAAACCAGCGAGUUUUAUUGCUUUCUUUAGUAGUAAUGAUAAGUGGCCUUGUUAAAAAGUAACUUACCUGGGGUGAAAUGAAAACAUUCCAUUUUCAUUAACAAAGGAAAACAAACAAAAAACAACUGUCGCGCCCGCUCUCGACCAGCAAGAACGACGUGACCACCAGUCCUUCUAACAGCAGUUUAUUCAGUCUUCAUCUUUCUUCUUUCUCUUCAUCAGUACCGUUCCCCAGCUGAAGAGUUCUGAAUCCACGCCGGAUCCUUCUCAACAGUCUGUUUCACGGGAACACUUUAUUAACCGCUCCUUCCCCGUGAUGCAGUUCUGAAUCCUCCCUGUAGCAGGGGGUCUUCGCUCAUGCCUGAAGAUGUUUCUUUUCCCGGGUUUCAGCACCACUUCUUGCGCGCGCUCAACUGGCCAGGAAGAACGACGCUGCUACAGGAUCCUUCUGCACACGUUUAUUCAGUCCUGUUUCUUCUUCCUCUAUAUAUCUCCCUUGUUUAUAUCUCCCUUGUUUAUAUAUCUCCCUUGUUUUUAUAUCUCCCUUGUUUUUAUAUCUCCCUUGUUUUUAUAUCUCCCUUGUUUUUAUAUCUCCCCUGUUUAUAUCUCCCUUGUUUUUAUAUCUCCCCCACUAAUAGUAAUCCUCUCUCGAAUAAUAAUCCUCCCUCUAACCCGGGCCUCUCACUCUUAUAUACUCUCAGUUCCCAUCCACGCACAGCAGGCCACGCCACCUCACCAGGCACGCAGCUUCAGCUAAUCAGGGCAGCAGGGGCAAAUCUCCACCAAAUUGGAUUCACCUGUAUCCUGGUACACCUGCGCAGCACUCAAGAUGUUUGUGUCUUAUAUGAGGAAGUCAGGUGAAAGUCAUAUGACUUAGCUGCAGUCCCUGGCGCCUUUGGGACUGCCGCCACACCCGCUCCUAACAUCUCCCCCUUUUUUCUUUUCUGGCAGAGAGAAUGUCUGUAGAUAGCCCCCCGCAGCCAUGCCCCUUACCCGUCCUUGGGUGACAAACAGCAUUGGUUUGAUCCCUGUCUUAGGUUGGUGACAUGCCCAGGGAGUCUUAUCACUGACUACCUCUCAAUCAUGCCAAGCCACUCCUGGGGAGAUUGUGUUUUGCUUGCGGCAGGUGCAUCAAAAGGCCAGGAUAUUAAUUAACCUAUGGCCAGAUCUUAAUUGCUGCAAGCAAGCCUCAUGGGUGAAGGUAGAGGUCUGAUCCCCAGUGUGCAAGCAUAGGGGCCCUACACAAAACCAUCUCUUAGGCUCAUCACCCAGAGAGGUCUUGGCCAGCUCCCGUGUCGUUUUUCCUGGGGGAAGGGAACUAGGACACUGAACCUUCAUGCAAUCAGACGUGCCUUCCACAGGAUGCCAACAGCAAGCUAUCCUCUGUGCAGUGCUUAGCCUCGCACCCCACGGCAUAACGCAGCAUAAUUUCUUUUAGAGCGGCAAACCGAAUCUGAGGAGAUUGUCCCGCCUCCACUGCAGCAAAAGCCUACGCUACCAUGGCGAAAGUGCGGGCCGCACACUCUGCACCUAACACAUGUGCCAAACACAAAAAACACACACACUAUAACAAGCAUACAUCCCAGGGCUCUCAUCCCCGCUCAUCUUCCCUGAAGCAAGGGAUAGAUAGCCAGAGGGGCUAUCUCUUUAAGGGGAAUUCAGGGAUCAAAAAGGCAUGGAAAAAUUUGAAUGUCAUGUCGAGCUGGUAUCGGCUUCUGGAAUACCGAAAGGAUCUCUCAUCUCGGCUCCAUCCUUUGUGCUUGUGGGAUCAUCCACCAUAUCCACAGGGGCAACUGGAUCAGGAGCCUCAUUCUUGCAGCGUCUCACCAAUCUCUCCGGCACCCAAAGAGGUUCCGUCUGGUCCUGUGGGAACACACAAACAGACCCUCUCGCCCACGUCAACACCUGAUCUGGUCGAUCCUCUCCAAAUCUCCAGACAGAAGGUCCACCUACAGGUGGCUGCUGAGGAGGCAUAGGGAGGCGGCACAAAAGCUAAUUCGCCUUCCUCCUCCACCUCGGCUCUUUUAUUUUGUCCUUUCUGUCCACCUGAUAACACUGUGUCUCCUUUCUUUUUCCUUUUUCUUUUUAAGCCCUUCUCCUCUUCCGACAUACUUUCUUGUUGCUCUGUAAGGAUUUUCUGACCUGUCUUGACUGCCUCUACACACAGUUUCAAACAGUAACAGAGUCCAUAUAUCAGAACAAACAAGACCAAAACUAUCAGACCUACCCACAAAGGGUCAAUGGGAGAAAAAAGCAUAACUACUCAGCGAGGAUCUAUUGAUCACUACACUGAGGUUAUCAUAGUUCCUUAACUUGUCCCCAAACCGGGAACCUUAACUUAUCCCAAAACCGGGAACCUAUCGUUACUUUGUGCCUGCUUCCUGGCAACUUUAUAUUCCCCUCUAUUUUAUCCGAGGUCCUUCCCAAACUCCUGGGGUCGCAAGUUUCACUCACCAUGAACUUACCCUGCCGGCAACCACUGACUGCUGAAAGUUCUGAACUCGGUGGGGGAGUCGGUUCCCCGUACGGGCCACCAAUUGUCGCGCCCGCUCUCGACCAGCAAGAACGACGUGACCACCAGUCCUUCUAACAGCAGUUUAUUCAGUCUUCAUCUUUCUUCUUUCUCUUCAUCAGUACCGUUCCCCAGCUGAAGAGUUCUGAAUCCACGCCGGAUCCUUCUCAACAGUCUGUUUCACGGGAACACUUUAUUAACCGCUCCUUCCCCGUGAUGCAGUUCUGAAUCCUCCCUGUAGCAGGGGGUCUUCGCUCAUGCCUGAAGAUGUUUCUUUUCCCGGGUUUCAGCACCACUUCUUGCGCGCGCUCAACUGGCCAGGAAGAACGACGCUGCUACAGGAUCCUUCUGCACACGUUUAUUCAGUCCUGUUUCUUCUUCCUCUAUAUAUCUCCCUUGUUUAUAUCUCCCUUGUUUAUAUAUCUCCCUUGUUUUUAUAUCUCCCUUGUUUUUAUAUCUCCCUUGUUUUUAUAUCUCCCUUGUUUUUAUAUCUCCCCUGUUUAUAUCUCCCUUGUUUUUAUAUCUCCCCCACUAAUAGUAAUCCUCUCUCGAAUAAUAAUCCUCCCUCUAACCCGGGCCUCUCACUCUUAUAUACUCUCAGUUCCCAUCCACGCACAGCAGGCCACGCCACCUCACCAGGCACGCAGCUUCAGCUAAUCAGGGCAGCAGGGGCAAAUCUCCACCAAAUUGGAUUCACCUGUAUCCUGGUACACCUGCGCAGCACUCAAGAUGUUUGUGUCUUAUAUGAGGAAGUCAGGUGAAAGUCAUAUGACUUAGCUGCAGUCCCUGGCGCCUUUGGGACUGCCGCCACACCCGCUCCUAACAAACAACCCCAAACAAACAAACAAACAAAUAACAAACCAAAACCAAUAUGGUAAGUAUAAGGGAUCCAGAUUGGUGGUGCGUAUCGAUAACCUCAGGAUUAAAACUUGAGAGGUGGAAGUAGGAGGAUCAAGAGCUCAAAGCUAGCCUUGGCUAUAUAGGGAAUUUAAGGCCAAUCUAGGCUACAGGAGAUCUGGUCUC
This 4484-nucleotide long non-coding RNA is filed under the name Mus musculus (house mouse). RNAcentral describes it as "long non-coding RNA chr14:121065278-121069762". Lineage: Eukaryota; Metazoa; Chordata; Mammalia; Rodentia; Muridae. The record is from RNAcentral.